AAACGACUCUCGGCAACGGAUAUCCCGGCUCUCGCAUCGAUGAAGAACGUAGCGAAAUGCGAUACUUGGUGUGAAUUGCAGAAUCCCGUGAACCAUCGAGUCUUUGAACGCAAGUUGCGCCCGAAGCCUCUAGGCUGAGGGCACGUCUGCUUGGGUGUCACGC
This 163-nucleotide ribosomal RNA is filed under the name Lecokia cretica. RNAcentral's name for it is "5.8S ribosomal RNA". It matches the Rfam family "5.8S ribosomal RNA". Rfam says of the family: 5.8S ribosomal RNA (5.8S rRNA) is a component of the large subunit of the eukaryotic ribosome. It is transcribed by RNA polymerase I as part of the 45S precursor that also contains 18S and 28S rRNA. Lineage: Eukaryota; Viridiplantae; Streptophyta; Magnoliopsida; Apiales; Apiaceae. The record is from RNAcentral.